UGUUGCUAAAUUUUUUUGGCUCAGUAUAUGUGGCUGUGAACUUCAAAAUUCGUUAAGUAGAAUAACCGAUGCUCCAAAAAACAAAGACAUAAAUGCACGUGGCGUUUAUCUUAUUUUGGUUUAGUUAAGUUUACGUAAUGUUUGUUGUGUAGCCAUAUCUGCUUGAAAUAUAUUCCAUAAUGAAAUUACUUCGCAUCCAUAAUCUUAGAAGACACAAAAAUGAAUUUCAAAAAUUUUACGGUAUCAAUCUUGUACAAGUAUACAUUAUAAUCAAAUCAG
RNAcentral lists this long non-coding RNA (279 nucleotides) under Mytilus galloprovincialis (Mediterranean mussel). The record is from RNAcentral. Lineage: Eukaryota; Metazoa; Mollusca; Bivalvia; Mytilida; Mytilidae.